AUGCUUAGAUACGACUUGGAAGACCAACUCUCGGUCAUCUACACGGACGAGGAGGCAUUCUGGCGCCUCCGAGGUAUGCAGAAUUGGGUCCUCAAGGGGGACGCUAAUACAGCCUACUUCCAGGCAAUCGUGAAUGGCCGCCGCCGCCGCAACACCAUCCCCCUGCUCUGGGAUGGUGAUACCCUGCUUCAACAGCCGGAGGCCAUCCGGGCCCAUGUUGAUGGCUUCUACAGAGACCUAUUCUUUGCCUCCCCUCGGGGAGGAUUAGCGCUUGCCCAUGAUAUUUGGCCGCCCCGAUACUGUGUUUCAGAGGAGGAUAACAUUGCUCUUACGGCACCAUUCUCUGAAGCUGAAGUAUGGGCGGCCAUUAAGGGCAUGAACUCAUCCUCGGCCCCUGGCCCCGAUGGCCUUCCAGUAAAGUUCUUUCAAACUUUCUGGGAAUCCAUUAAGCCUGAGGUCAUGGCCCUAUUUGAAGAAUUCUAUGUUGGGGCCAUUGAUCUCACCCGUCUCAACUUUGGAAUAAUCACGCUCAUUCCCAAAGUUACGGGUGCCUCGGACAUCCGCCAAUUCCGCCCAAUCACGGUGAUCAAUGUCAUCUUUCACAUCCUCGCGAAGGGGUACGCUAAUAGGGUGGCCCCAAUUGCGGACCGAAUCAUCCACCCAGAUCAGUCGGCUUUCAUCCAGGGCCGGUUUAUCCUGGACGGAGUCCUAGUGUUUCACGAAGCCUUACACGAGGUGCACUCCAAGCACCUCAAAGGCAGUCUUCCUGAAACUAGAUUUCCACAAGGCCUACGACACGGUUAG
RNAcentral lists this ribosomal RNA (804 nucleotides) under Triticum aestivum (bread wheat). RNAcentral describes it as "partial small subunit ribosomal RNA". Lineage: Eukaryota; Viridiplantae; Streptophyta; Magnoliopsida; Poales; Poaceae. The record is from RNAcentral.